AUUGAACGCUGGCGGCAGGCCUAACACAUGCAAGUCGAGCGGAUGAAGGGAGCUUGCUCCUGGAUUCAGCGGCGGACGGGGGAGUAAUGCCUAGGAAUCUGCCUGGUAGUGGGGGAUAACGUCCGGAAACGGUCGCUAAUACCGCAUACGUCCUGAGUGAGAAAGUGGGGGGUCUUCUGACCGCACGCUAUCAGAUAAGCUUAGGUCGGAUUAGCUAGUUGGUGGGGUAAAGGCGUACCAAGGCGACGAUCCGUAACUGGGCUGAGAGGAUGAUCAGUCACACUGGAACUGAGCUACGGCACAGACUACUCGGGGAGGCAGCGGUGGGGAAUAUUGGACAAGGGGCGAAAGGAUGAUCCAGCCCUGCCGAGUGGCUGAAGAAGGGAUUCGGAUUUUAAAUGUAUUCAAGUUGGGAGGAAGGGUAGUAAGUUAAUACCGUGAUGUUUUGAAGUUACCAAAAGAAUAAGCACCGGCUAACUCCGUG
RNAcentral lists this ribosomal RNA (484 nucleotides) under uncultured bacterium. Its description in RNAcentral is "partial 16S ribosomal RNA". It matches the Rfam family "Bacterial small subunit ribosomal RNA", at positions 30 to 507 of the family's 1533-position model. The record is from RNAcentral.